AGAUUUUUCUUCCUCAGUGAGAUGUGAAGAAAGUAGAAAGUGGACAGUUUAUUGUAAGGUCACAAAAUGCAAGUAUUAAUAUUUUACUAACAAAAUAAUAAACAGAAUUUGCAAAGAU
Long non-coding RNA from Sphaeramia orbicularis (orbiculate cardinalfish), 118 nucleotides. RefSeq lists it as uncharacterized. The transcript has 2 exons. The record is from RefSeq and is a predicted model, not a curated record. NCBI's taxonomy places the organism in Eukaryota, Metazoa, Chordata, Actinopteri, Kurtiformes, Apogonidae.